Molecule: ribosomal RNA, 449 nt
Filed under: uncultured bacterium
Lineage: Bacteria
Description: bacterial SSU rRNA
Rfam family: Bacterial small subunit ribosomal RNA
Source: RNAcentral
AUCCAGACUCCUACGGGAGGCAGCAGUGGGGAAUAUUGCACAAUGGGGGAAACCCUGAUGCAGCAACGCCGCGUGAGUGAUGACGGCCUUCGGGUUGUAAACUUCUUUUGUCAGGGAAGAGUAGAAGACGGUACCUGACGAAUAAGCCACGGCUAACUACGUGCCAGCAGCCGCGGUAAUACGUAGGUGGCAAGCGUUAUCCGGAUUUACUGGGUGUAAAGGGCGUGUAGGCGGGAAAGCAAGUCAGAUGUGAAAACCAUGGGCUCAACCCAUAGCCUGCAUUUGAAACUGUAUUUCUUGAGUGCUGGAGAGGCAAUCGGAAUUCCGUGUGUAGCGGUGAAAUGCGUAGAUAUACGGAGGAACACCAGUGGCGAAGGCGGAUUGCUGGACAGUAACUGACGCUGAGGCGCGAAAGCGUGGGGAGCAAACAGGAUUAGAUACCCCGGUAA